This 451-nucleotide ribosomal RNA is filed under the name uncultured bacterium. RNAcentral's name for it is "partial 16S ribosomal RNA". It matches the Rfam family "Bacterial small subunit ribosomal RNA", at positions 28 to 507 of the family's 1533-position model. The record is from RNAcentral.
GAUGAACGCUGGCGGCGUGCCUAACACAUGCAAGUCGAGCGGCAGCGCGGGGUGCUUGCACCCUGUCGGCGAGCGGCGGACGGCUGAGUAACGCGUGGGAACGUGCCCCAAAGUGAGGAAUAACUGCCCGAAAGGGUAGCUAAUACCGCAUAUUAUCUUCGGAUCAAAGGAUUUAUCCGCUUUGGGAGCGGCUCGCGUCGGAUUAGGUAGUUGGUGAGGUAAUGGCUCACCAAGCCGACGAUCCGUAGCUGGUCUGAGUGGAUGACCAGCCAGACUGGAACUGAGACACGGUCCAGACUCCUACGGGAGGCAGCAGUGAGGAAUCUUCCACAAUGGGCGAAAGCCUGAUGGAGCAACGCCGCGUGCAGGACGAAGGCCUUCGGGUUGUAAACUGCUUUUAUAAGUGAGGAAUAUGACGGUAACUUAUGAAUAAGGAUCGGCUAACUACGUG